Long non-coding RNA from Alligator mississippiensis (American alligator), 5088 nucleotides. RefSeq lists it as uncharacterized. The record is from RefSeq and is a predicted model, not a curated record. NCBI's taxonomy places the organism in Eukaryota, Metazoa, Chordata, Crocodylia, Alligatoridae. The transcript is spliced from 2 exons.
AAGCUGGAGCGGCGGUGGCCUCAUUUCAGUUCCAGAGGAGACACCAACACCCCCCCAUGUCAACCAUCAGCUCACCGCUAAGAUCACGCUCUCGCCGGGGCUUUAUUUAUCUGCAUGCCAGCUUUCUCCUCCCUCCCUCCCUCUCCCACUUCGCCUUUCUCUCUCUCUCUCUCCCUCUCCCUCUCUCCCCACCAGAAAGCAGCAGCUUGGAGAGAUCUGCAGUUCAAACAUUAAGGAACUGGAAGACGACCAUCCAACAGACCGGGAGGACGAGGCGAUAGUUUGUUGGUGUCGUGGGGUGAAAUACAGUCUCCCCGAAGUGGGUGAGGGCAUCUAUUCAUGAAGACCCUCAGUGAGAGGUGGGAACGAGCCAAAGGGGCAACAUACCUAUAUAGCGAGGUAGGGGAACAAGCCACAGUCCCUUCAAGUCAAAGGGAGUCUUUCCAUUGGACUUCAGCAAACUUGGGAUCGCUCUUGCUCCCUACCUCAUUUUUUCCAGCUUCCUUCAUGGCGUUUUGUUCCUUCGCUUUCUUCUUCCAGAUGCCAGCACUGCCUUUUCCUCCAAACCCUUCACUGAUGCUGGAAGGAGGAGGGACAUUUCCUCCUAGAACAAAAGGAUGGAAGAAUGGAGAUGGGAAAGGGACCUGGAGGGUGAAGGCCUUUCCAUCCACAAACACCUCUCCCAUGCCUACAACUCACGACCCCAGCCUCGGGGACGUGGCCGAUUGCAGGGUGGUCUCCAGCAGCCAAAGCCAGUGCAGUCCGUGCAUGUGUCAGGUCAAGCCAGGUGGAUGGGGCUCUCCGCGAUUCCCAAGGGAGUUGGCCUGGCUGCCCCCGCAGAUCAUACGGGAGCAAGCCGGGUUUUAAACAAGCCCCCGUUCGGCUCAGAGUUGUAUUCAUUUUUAGUUUAAAGACCAAACCGACCCACCCUCUGCCCCUCUUGCGGCCGUUGUUGUCACUGGCAGGAUUCCCAGCAACGUCAGCCACGGCUGGAUCGAGCCCUCGUGGAAGUCAAUGGCUAGGUUCUCCAGGAACGGGACCUGUUUGGGGAGCGGGGGCACAGCAUUUGGCCUGACGUGGGCUCAUGAUUCGGGUUUCCAUCUUCCUCCUUAACGGUAUCCUUGCACUUGAGAUAUUCCACUUGUAACUUGAGAGCAGGCCCAAGCCAGUAAAAUGCUGGGACCAAAUUUGCAACAGCUGAAAAGGCAACGUAGCAGCUGGCGCUCUACUGGGUGGUCAACAGGGCUCCUGCCCAUGCCCCAGCGUAGGGUCCCGCGGGUUAUUCCCUUUAGAAAGGAGAACUUGCUGCUGUCAGUCAUGUCUUGGGUGUAAUCCUGCUUAUUUUCAAAGACCAUCCAAGUCCUGGUCCUGUGAGCACACGAGGAACCAAGAAGAAGAGUUCAUUUCUUUGCUCAGCUCUGGUUUUUUUGGGGAGUUUUUUUGGUUCAGCCAGCAGUUCGCUCCCAAACCACACGCUCCGUCAGCCGCCUUGCAGGGUCAGGCUAAAAGUGUCCGCGCUUCUGCUGCUUUCGUGCUGCCUUCGUGUCUCCUGCUGGGGUGUUUUUCCUGCUUCUCUCUUUUGCACACGCACACCUUUACAUAACGGCACCCAGGUAAACCCCUCUGAUCACACUGUGCAUCCCUGUUUGCGUGCGUUGGUAACACUCCCCCCAGGUCCCAGAUCCCAUAAAGGGGCUCAAUGGCUUCUUUCUUCAAUGAAGGGAAAUGGUGAACGUCCUCCCCCCGGUUUCAGCAAACCGAAUCCCAGUCCCUGCCACUGUGCCCUGUCUCAGCUCCACUCACCCUUCCCGCAGAGCCUAAAGUGGUGGUGGCAUCUAAAAGCCGGUCUUAGCUCUUCACGUACUUGCAGGGUUGGAACAUUUCCCACCCCGAUUGCCCUCCCAUCCAAACCGUCUUGGAGCUUUUUGCUUUUCCGCAUCCUUCAUUUUGGCCUCUCCGGCCGGCUGUCUUUCAGGGAGUCCUGGAGGACGAUGUUUCCCAGGCUGCGACGGACCUGGCCGGUCUCACAAGGAGCUCCCCUCCCUCUCUUCUCAUUGCACGUGUCCACAGCUUCAUCGUCCGCUUGGGGCAGGGAGCCAUGCCAGAGCCCCGUGCCCUGUGCCUCCUCAGCAGGACCCAAUUGUAUUCAUUUAUGACCUUAUUUAUUUGGCUCAGGACUGCACAGAGUCCUUCCUUCCCCCUGGCUAGCCAGCUUCCACCCUCUUUUCUCGCAAGGUUAUGGAACAGAUGGUCUUUAUUUUUGUUUAGCAGAGGCAGCCAUCACCUCUUCUCCAGCAAAGGCCUGCAUCAAUCUUUGCACAAAAACAAUGUUCCCAAGAGUCUCGUGGCACUUGGACUACGAGCAUCUCCAGUGACCUGCGUGCAGCUCACCAGGGACCCCAAAUCCGCAACGAAUGUGCUCGUUAGAACGUCACCUGUCAUCAGCUCCUUCUGGAGAAAGCAUGAAGCCACUCCUGCGCACGUCUCUUUGCUCCUACUUGAGAGCCGCGCUUCGUUCCUUUAAGUGGCUGCGCUGACUGACGUGGAGUUCAACACACAUCAAUGGUUUUUCUGUUAUUUAGCUGAGCUUGUGACUGCGUCUUUCUCAGACCUGGGGAAGCUGGUCCAGCAUCUCUCCCAACUGGACCAUCGGUUCAGGAAGAGAGAUCACAAACACCCCACCGCCUCUUGGACACUUCUUGGACCAUUGCAGCUACAAGUCUUCCUAGACCAGUCUAGGAAAGUCGUGGUGACACCAUGCUUGAAAGGCCAGCUUGUGUCACCAAGCAGAUGGACAGCAAUGCUCUCCACUGACGUCCCUAUGUGAUGUCCCUUUCUGCCAUGUCGCAGCCUCUGUUGCAAUAGGUGCAUGAGGACCCUUGCUCUUCCCAUGGUCUGGGGAAGCAGAGACAUCCCCCUCUUUUAGAGAGCGCGCUGCCCUGAGCAUUUCAUUCCUUGCUCUCCCGCUGCAGGCAGCGUUUGCAAUUAGCCUGCCAGGUACGGCCUUAGCGGGACCGUGCUCGUGUGGGACAAAUCGCAGUGCUGCAGCCUGUCCGCCCACCUGUCAGCUUGUCAUGCAGGCUUCCUAAAUCUAAACAGCCGUGAGCAAGGAUGCAAGGGCAGCCCUGACCAUGCUCUGCCUCCCGUCCAAAUAGCCGCAGGAAUGUUUUACAGAUUGAACCACUGCCAGGAGAAGUCCCUCCGUUUGGUGCAAUGCUUGUGCUCAGGAAUACAGGCUUUGGCCGUCAUAAACCCCAUUCUCUCUAGCCCCUGUUUCUUUAUUGGCAGAGCCCACAAGCUGGGAGCACUGGCACUGCAUGAAAGGGAUUUUGAAACCUAAAUCGGCCAAGUCGGGAGCAGUCAGGAGCCCUCGGCCACCCCGGCUCGCACAAGCGGUUUCUCUCCGUCUAUGAAACAGUUUUGCCACUUUGGCAAAAUGAUAAAUCAAGUUUCUUUAAUAGGGCCAAGUUUUGCAGCGCCCAGAUCAGCAGGGGAGGGUCUGGGAUUGGGCCAGUUCUCCCCAGUCUCAGUUUCAUCUCCGUCAGCAGAAAAUCCCCCCCUGGCUGAUUAGAUCCCGAAGGUCAGUUGCCAUUGCGCGGGGCUCGGCUUCAGGCUGGCAGCCUUCAGCUACUCAGGGACCACUUGUGAAUGGAUCACUUCAUGCUCAGAGGUUGCAGGAGGCACCUGGAUCUGCCUCGAUGCAGCAAGCCCGCUGAGAGAGGCAGCCGCGCAGUGCCAGAGGUAUGCCUCGCAGUGCCAGAGGCAUGCCUCGCAGCCUUGUCCUGCCACAAAAGCCGUCUUUUAUUUUUAUUUUUUCUUGCCCUUUGGAUCUGCUUCGUGCUGGCCAUUUUGCAUUUUUAAGACCCAAGAGGAAAACCAGACUGAACCUGUUGUACGUAAUGCCGUGAGAAACAAGCAUCCUUUAAGGUGACCUCAGUGAGCUUUCCAUAGUCCGUGCAGUCUCGUGCUGCGCUCUUCUUUUUUAAGCUAGUUUUCAAGGCAAGGCCCAAAGACUGGUUCACCUUCUUGAUCCAGUUCCUCCUUGACCUCCACCACCUCCCUGUGUGCAAAGGAGGCCAAGAGAUGUCCAACGUGGGUCAAACCUUUAAUUUGGGGUUUGCUAGUUACUAGGAGAGAUGGGGAGAAAACCAAGCCCCAUGAGACCUGCCCAAAGAAGAACGCAGCAGCCUGCGUUUGCAACACGAGGCAAACAAAGAAGCCAGCCCUCCACCAUCGCAGCCAAGAGGAAGAGAAAACUUGGAGGAGCCGAAGAGAAGGAUGCAGCACAGACAGGUGCAUAUUACUCAGAGCUGCACUGAAAGCACCCAGGCCAAAGAGAGGAGGAAGGUCUGCCGAGUCCAUGCCUCCUGCACCCAGAGCCAAUUGUGCAUCAAGCACUAUAGCGCUCAGAGCUGCCUGCCGCACCAAGCAGGAGACCUGAUCUUUGCCAGGCCCCCUUGGGCUCUCCUCGCCCCUGCAGCUCCAGCACCCCACACUGCCAGGUUUUCCCAGGGUCAGAGGUACCCAAGAGCCUGGCCCGUCGUCUCGGUGCCAGCCAGCCUGUUCAGCUGCAGCCUGAGCAGGGUGACGUGGUGGAGCAUUUUGCAGAGGCGAGGCUGAGCAGCUCGCGGAGAUGGGUGCAAUGUGAAGGCUUGCAGUUAGAAGCUAGCCCCUUCUUCCAGUAUGCAGAGAGGAAGGGUCCGGGAGGGGAAAAAACCCCCACACUGAUUACGUUUUACAGGGAAAAGCAGAUAACCCCUCAGGGACUCCUAGGUGCCACUGAAGUAGAAGCAGGACGGCAUUCCCCCAUGCUCUGAUUUUAAGUGUAUAUUGAUGAUUGUACAUAUGACAUGCACCACAUUUCUCAUUUUAAAUGUAUACCAUCAAGACUAAUUAUUAAUGUAUUUAUGCAGCUGUUAUACACGAUUUAAAUAUUCACCCUAUUACAUUUACAUGCGUGCACUAUACCGUGGCACAGAGCCCCGUUCAGUACUGUGAUUUAGAACAGCAUCACACGGCUGUAAUGCAAACCCAGCCUCUUUUCCCAAGUUCGGUAAAAAAAAAAUAAACUAAAGCCCUCGGGCCCGA